GCGCAGCAGGCGCGAAACUUUACAAUGUGCGAAAGCACGAUAAGGGAACUCUGAGUGCCUCCUAAGGAGGCUGUUCAGGUGUCUAAAAGCACCUGAAGGAAGGGCUGGGUAAGACCGGUGCCAGCCGCCGCGGUAACACCGGCAGCCCAAGUGGUAGCCACGUUUAUUGGGUCUAAAGCGUCCGUAGCCGGCUGGGUAAGUUCCUUGGGAAAUUUGGCUGCUUAACAGUCAAGCUUUCAGGGAAUACUGCCCGGCUUGGGACCGGGAGAGGUCAGAGGUACUCCAGGGGUAGGGGUGAAAUCCAUUAAUCCUUGGGGGACCACCGGUAGCGAAGGCGUCUGACCAGACCGGGUCCGACGGUGAGGGACGAAGGCUAGGGGGCGCGAACCGGAUUAGAUACCCGCGUAGU
This 409-nucleotide ribosomal RNA is filed under the name uncultured microorganism. RNAcentral's name for it is "bacterial SSU rRNA". It matches the Rfam family "Archaeal small subunit ribosomal RNA", at positions 330 to 745 of the family's 1478-position model. The record is from RNAcentral.